AGGUGCGAUCAUACCAGCACUAAUGCACCGGAUCCCAUAAGAACUCCGUAUAUAAGCGUGCUUGGGCGAGAGUAGGACUUGGAUGGGUGACCUCCUUGGAAGUCCUCGUGUUGCACCUC
Molecule: ribosomal RNA, 119 nt
Filed under: Lupinus angustifolius (narrow-leaved blue lupine)
Lineage: Eukaryota; Viridiplantae; Streptophyta; Magnoliopsida; Fabales; Fabaceae
Source: RNAcentral